RNAcentral lists this ribosomal RNA (492 nucleotides) under uncultured bacterium. RNAcentral describes it as "partial 16S ribosomal RNA". It matches the Rfam family "Bacterial small subunit ribosomal RNA", at positions 30 to 507 of the family's 1533-position model. The record is from RNAcentral.
AGUGAACGCUGGCGGUAGGCCUAACACAUGCAAGUCGAACGGCAGCACAGUAAGAGCUUGCUCUUACGGGUGGCGAGUGGCGGACGGGUGAGGAAUACAUCGGAAUCUACUUUUUCGUGGGGGAUAACGUAGGGAAACUUACGCUAAUACCGCAUACGACCUACGGGUGAAAGCAGGGGAUCUUCGGACCUUGCGCGAUUGAAUGAGCCGAUGUCGGAUUAGCUAGUUGGCGGGGUAAAGGCCCACCAAGGCGACGAUCCGUAGCUGGUCUGAGAGGAUGACGGGACGCAGAGGAAGGGAGACACGGACCAGAGGACGAAGGGAGACACCGGGAGAGAGUGUGGGGGAAGGGCGGAUAGCGGGAAGGAGAAACGCCGGGGGAGUGAUGAAGGGCUCCGGAUCGUAAAACGCUGGUAUUAGGGAAGAAAAUAUGUGGAAGCAAGUGAGCACAGGGUGAGGGGACCUAAUCAGAAAGACACGGCGAACCACGUG